GUAAUUUGCCAGAAUUUCCUCGUACGAUAUUCUUAACCUUGACUUGGGCAUGAGGCUGGCAUCAUUUGCUGAAGGAAAUGAGCCUGGUGAAGUCAUCUUAUGGUCGAACUCGUGUGGAGCAGAGAGCUCAUGCCAAUGUGUCCUCUGGUCAUGUGGAAAGCGCUAAUUCCCUUUUCUGACACCACCUUACAUAUCCGCCCUCCGGCUACACCAAAGUCCGGUGGCAUCCCAAAGAUUGCAAGAGGUCGUUUUUGACUGAAACCAAAUGUCAAUUAGGAAGUCAGAGCCAACAGACAAUAAAAAUGGGUUCUUUAGCUAUAUCUUAAGAAUCCCCAGGAGAGAUUGAUUUGUUGAUAAAGAAGCUGAAUGUGAGGAUUUGGUCAAUCAACAU
RNAcentral lists this unclassified non-coding RNA (391 nucleotides) under Hevea brasiliensis (rubber tree). Lineage: Eukaryota; Viridiplantae; Streptophyta; Magnoliopsida; Malpighiales; Euphorbiaceae. The record is from RNAcentral.